This 407-nucleotide RNase P RNA is filed under the name Verrucomicrobiota bacterium. RNAcentral's name for it is "RNase P RNA component class A". It matches the Rfam family "Bacterial RNase P class A". Rfam says of the family: Ribonuclease P (RNase P) is a ubiquitous endoribonuclease, found in archaea, bacteria and eukarya as well as chloroplasts and mitochondria. Its best characterised activity is the generation of mature 5'-ends of tRNAs by cleaving the 5'-leader elements of precursor-tRNAs. Lineage: Bacteria; Pseudomonadati; Verrucomicrobiota. The record is from RNAcentral.
GCGCGAUGGCAGAUGAUCGCUGGUGAGUCGUUAGACUUACUGGAGGAAAGUCCGAACACCAUACGGCAGCAUGCCGCGUAGAACACGCGGGCGUCGCAGUUGUAAAAUUGCGGCGACGGAAAGUGUCGCAGAAAAGACACCGCCGGUUCUUUGGCAACAACGUUCAGGUAAGGGUGAAAUGGCGAGGUAAGAGCUCACCGCGUCCCGCGUAAGCGGGACGGCAGGAAAAACCCCAUGCGGUGCAAGACAAAACAGAGGGAGGGCAGCCGGUCCGCCGAUCCUCGGGUAUCGUCGCAUCACGAGGCGUGAAAGCGCGUCGGGCGGCUCACGCGAGUGAGUUGAGAUAAAUGAUCAUCGCUUCGGAGAAAUUCGGAGGACAGAAUUCGGCUUACCGCCAUCAAGAUGAA